This 71-nucleotide transfer RNA is filed under the name Fusarium falciforme. Its description in RNAcentral is "tRNA-Thr". It matches the Rfam family "tRNA". Rfam says of the family: Transfer RNA (tRNA) molecules are approximately 80 nucleotides in length. Their secondary structure includes four short double-helical elements and three loops (D, anti-codon, and T loops). Further hydrogen bonds mediate the characteristic L-shaped molecular structure. tRNAs have two regions of fundamental functional importance: the anti-codon, which is responsible for specific mRNA codon recognition, and the 3' end, to which the tRNAs corresponding amino acid is attached (by aminoacyl-tRNA synthetases). tRNAs cope with the degeneracy of the genetic code in two manners: having more than one tRNA (with a specific anti-codon) for a particular amino acid; and 'wobble' base-pairing, i.e. permitting non-standard base-pairing at the 3rd anti-codon position. The record is from RNAcentral. Lineage: Eukaryota; Fungi; Ascomycota; Sordariomycetes; Hypocreales; Nectriaceae.
GCCUCCUUAGCUUAGUGGUAGAGCGUUGCACUUGUAAUGCAAAGGUCGUUAUUCAAUUCUGACAGGUGGCA